GAUGAAGAACGUAGCGAAAUGCGAUAAGUAAUGUGAAUUGCAGAAUUCAGUGAAUCAUCGAAUCUUUGAACGCACAUUGCGCCCGUCAGUAUUCUGGCGGGCAUGCCUGUUCGAGCGUCAUUACGCCCCUCAAGUCCCCUGUGGACUUGGUGUUGGGGAUCGGCGAGGCUGGUUUUCCAGCACAGCCGUCCCUUAAAUUAAUUGGCGGUCUCGCCGUGGCCCUCCUCUGCGCAGUAGUAAAACACUCGCAACAGGAGCCCGGCGCGGUCCACUGCCGUAAAACCCCCCAACUUUUUUUAGUUGACCUCGAAUCAGGUAGGACUACCCGCUGAACUUAAGCAUAUCAAUAAGCGGAGGA
RNAcentral lists this unclassified non-coding RNA (358 nucleotides) under soil metagenome. RNAcentral describes it as "partial contains 5.8S ribosomal RNA, internal transcribed spacer 2, and large subunit ribosomal RNA". The stretch from base 1 to 120 matches the Rfam family "5.8S ribosomal RNA", at positions 35 to 154 of the family's 154-position model. The record is from RNAcentral.